This 406-nucleotide ribosomal RNA is filed under the name uncultured bacterium. RNAcentral's name for it is "partial 16S ribosomal RNA". It matches the Rfam family "Bacterial small subunit ribosomal RNA", at positions 30 to 526 of the family's 1533-position model. The record is from RNAcentral.
AUUGAACGCUGGCGGCAGGCCUAACACAUGCAAGUCGAACGAGUGGCGGACGGGUGAGUAAUGUCUGGGAAACUGCCUGAUGGAGGGGGAUAACUACUGGAAACGGUAGCUAAUACCGCAUACCAUCAGAUGUGCCCAGAGUGGAUGUGCUUGUUGGUGGGGUAACGGCUCACCAAGGCGACGAGCCCUAGCUGGUCUGCGAGGAUGACCAGCCACACUGGUACUGCGACACGGUCCAGACUCCUACGGGAGGCAGCAGUGGGGAAUAGUGCAAAAUGGGCGCAAGCCGGAUGCAGCCAUGCCGCGUGUAUGAAGAAGGCCUUCGGGUUGUAAAGUACUUUCAGCGGGGAGGCGUUACCCGCAGAAGAAGCACCGGCUAACUCCGUGCCAGCAGCCGCGGUAAUUC